This 468-nucleotide ribosomal RNA is filed under the name uncultured bacterium. RNAcentral's name for it is "partial 16S ribosomal RNA". It matches the Rfam family "Bacterial small subunit ribosomal RNA", at positions 28 to 523 of the family's 1533-position model. The record is from RNAcentral.
GAUGAACGCUGGCGGCGUGCCUAACACAUGCAAGUCGAGCGAUUCUCUUCGGAGAAGAGCGGCGGACGGGUGAGUAACGCGUGGGUAACCUGCCCUGUACACACGGAUAACAUACCGAAAGGUAUGCUAAUACGAGAUAAUAUACUUUUAUCGCAUGCUAGAAGUAUCAAAGCUCCGGCGGUACAGGAUGGACCCGCGUCUGAUUAGCUAGUUGGUAAGGUAACGGCUUACCAAGGCGACGAUCAGUAGCCGACCUGAGAGGGUGAUCGGCCACAUUGGAACUGAGACACGGCCCAAACUCCUACGGGAGGCAGCAGUGGGGAAUAUUGCACAAUGUGCGAAAGCCUGAUGCAGCAACGCCGCGUGAGCGAUGAAGGCCUUCGGGUCGUAAAGCUCUGUCCUCAAGGAAGAUAAUGACGGUACUUGAGGAGGAAGCCCCGGCUAACUACGUGCCAGCCGCCGCCGUAA